AGGCGAGUAGCUCAGUUGGCAGAGUCGCGGUCUCCAAAACCGUUGGUCGUGGGUUCGAGUCCUACCUCGCCUGCCA
RNAcentral lists this transfer RNA (76 nucleotides) under Clostridiales bacterium. RNAcentral's name for it is "tRNA-Trp". It matches the Rfam family "tRNA". Rfam says of the family: Transfer RNA (tRNA) molecules are approximately 80 nucleotides in length. Their secondary structure includes four short double-helical elements and three loops (D, anti-codon, and T loops). Lineage: Bacteria; Bacillati; Bacillota; Clostridia; Eubacteriales. The record is from RNAcentral. RNAcentral also lists the same sequence under 1 other name.